GAUGAACGCUGGCGGCGUGCCUAGUACAUGCAAGUCGAGCGAACAGACGAGGAGCUUGCUCCUCUGACGUUAGCGGCGGUCGGGUGAGUAACACGUGGAUAACCUACCUAUAAGACUGGGAUAACUUCGGGAAACCGGAGCUAAUACCGGAUAAUAUAUUGAACCGCAUGGUUCAAUAGUGAAAGACGGUUUUGCUGUCACUUAUAGAUGGAUCCGCGCCGCAUUAGCUAGUUGGUAAGGUAACGGCUUACCAAGGCAACGAUGCGUAGCCGACCUGAGAGGGUGAUCGGCCACACUGGAACUGAGACACGGUCCAGACUCCUACGGGAGGCAGCAGUAGGGAAUCUUCCGCAAUGGGCGAAAGCCUGACGGAGCAACGCCGCGUGAGUGAUGAAGGUCUUCGGAUCGUAAAACUCUGUUAUUAGGGAAGAACAAAUGUGUAAGUAACUAUGCACGUCUUGACGGUACCUAAUCAGAAAGCCACGGCUAACUACGUG
This 497-nucleotide ribosomal RNA is filed under the name uncultured bacterium. RNAcentral describes it as "partial 16S ribosomal RNA". It matches the Rfam family "Bacterial small subunit ribosomal RNA", at positions 28 to 507 of the family's 1533-position model. The record is from RNAcentral.